RNAcentral lists this ribosomal RNA (497 nucleotides) under uncultured bacterium. Its description in RNAcentral is "partial 16S ribosomal RNA". It matches the Rfam family "Bacterial small subunit ribosomal RNA", at positions 28 to 507 of the family's 1533-position model. The record is from RNAcentral.
GACGAACGCUGGCGGCGUGCCUAAUACAUGCAAGUUGAGCGAUGAAGUUUGGUGCUUGCACCAAUUUGAAGAGCAGCGAACGGGUGAGUAACGCGUGGGGAAUCUGCCUUUGAGCGGGGGACAACAUUUGGAAACGAAUGCUAAUACCGCAUAACAACUUUAAACAUAAGUUUUAAGUUUGAAAGAUGCAAUUGCAUCACUCAAAGAUGAUCCCGCGUUGUAUUAGCUAGUUGGUGAGGUAAAGGCUCACCAAGGCGAUGAUACAUAGCCGACCUGAGAGGGUGAUCGGCCACAUUGGGACUGAGACACGGCCCAAACUCCUACGGGAGGCAGCAGUUGGGAAUCUUCGGCAAUGGACGAAAGUCUGACCGAGCAACGCCGCGUGAGUGAAGAAGGUUUUCGGAUCGUAAAACUCUGUUGGUAGAGAAGAACGUUGGUGAGAGUGGAAAGCUCAUCAAGUGACGGUAACUACCCAGAAAGGGACGGCUAACUACGUG